Molecule: long non-coding RNA, 199 nt
Organism: Silurus meridionalis
Lineage: Eukaryota; Metazoa; Chordata; Actinopteri; Siluriformes; Siluridae
Exons: 4
Source: RefSeq, a predicted model, not a curated record
AUAAAACUCAAGUUACUGAGAACAAAGUAGCAGGUUGCAGCUGUUCCUCUGUGAUCUUCAUGCUGAGCACGAUGUUUGGUUCAGUCGUUGUGAUUCUUCUCGGUGUCCUGAUCUUCAUCCUGCUGAAGCACAGAAACACACAUGGAGGUGUUGAAGCAGAAAAUAAGGUUGCUGACUCUGAUAUGAUGCAUUACGCUGC